AUUGAACGCUGGCGGCAGGCCUAACACAUGCAAGUCGAACGGAGUGGCGGACGGGUGAGUAAUGUAUCGGAAAGUGCCCAGUAGCGGGGGAUAACUACGCGCAAGGGUAGCUAAUACCGCAUACUAUCGGAGCGGCCGAUAUCGGAUUAGAUAGUCGGGGGGGUAACGGCUCACCAAGGCGACGAUCCGUCGCUGGUUUGAGAGGACGACCGGCCACACUGUGACUGAGAAACGGCCCAGAUUCCUCCGGGAGGCAGCAGUGGGGAAUGUUGCAAAAUGGGGGAAACCCUGAUCCAGCCAUCCCGCGUGUGCGAUGAAGGCCUUCGGGUUGGAAAGCACUUUUUGCAGGAAAGCGGUACCUGCAGAAUAAGCACCGGCUAACUACGUGCCAGCAGCGGCGGUAAUUC
Molecule: ribosomal RNA, 407 nt
Filed under: uncultured bacterium
Lineage: Bacteria
Description: partial 16S ribosomal RNA
Rfam family: Bacterial small subunit ribosomal RNA
Source: RNAcentral